RNAcentral lists this ribosomal RNA (460 nucleotides) under uncultured bacterium. Its description in RNAcentral is "partial 16S ribosomal RNA". It matches the Rfam family "Bacterial small subunit ribosomal RNA", at positions 338 to 795 of the family's 1533-position model. The record is from RNAcentral.
CCUACGGGAGACAGCAGUGAGGAAUAUUGGUCAAUGGGCGCGAGCCUGAACCAGCCAAGUAGCGUGAAGGAUGACUGCCCUACGGGUUGUAAACUUCUUUUAUAAAGGAAUAAAGUGAGGCACGUGUGCCUUGUUUUAUGUACUUUAUGAAUAAGGAUAGGCUAACUCCGUGCCAGCAGCCGCGGUAAUACGGAGGAUCCGAGCGUUAUCCGGAUUUAUUGGGUUUAAAGGGAGCGUAGAUGGGUUUUUAAGUCAGUUGUGAAAGUUUGCGGCUCAACCGUAAAAUUGCAAUUGAUACUGGAAGUCUUGAGUACAGUUGAGGUAGGCGGAAUUCGUGGUGUAGCGGUGAAAUGCUUAGAUAUCACGAAGAACUCCGAUUGCGAAGGCAGCUUACUAGACUGCCACUGACAUUGAUGCUCGAAAGUGUGGGUAUCAAACAGGAUUAGAUACCCCAGUAGUC